Molecule: ribosomal RNA, 1906 nt
Filed under: Staphylococcus aureus
Lineage: Bacteria; Bacillati; Bacillota; Bacilli; Caryophanales; Staphylococcaceae
Description: bacterial LSU rRNA
Rfam family: Bacterial large subunit ribosomal RNA
Source: RNAcentral
CCCUUGGUCAGGUUGAAGUUCAGGUAACACUGAAUGGAGGACCGAACCGACUUACGUUGAAAAGUGAGCGGAUGAACUGAGGGUAGCGGAGAAAUUCCAAUCGAACCUGGAGAUAGCUGGUUCUCUCCGAAAUAGCUUUAGGGCUAGCCUCAAGUGAUGAUUAUUGGAGGUAGAGCACUGUUUGGACGAGGGGCCCCUCUCGGGUUACCGAAUUCAGACAAACUCCGAAUGCCAAUUAAUUUAACUUGGGAGUCAGAACAUGGGUGAUAAGGUCCGUGUUCGAAAGGGAAACAGCCCAGACCACCAGCUAAGGUCCCAAAAUAUAUGUUAAGUGGAAAAGGAUGUGGCGUUGCCCAGACAACUAGGAUGUUGGCUUAGAAGCAGCCAUCAUUUAAAGAGUGCGUAAUAGCUCACUAGUCGAGUGACACUGCGCCGAAAAUGUACCGGGGCUAAACAUAUUACCGAAGCUGUGGAUUGUCCUUUGGACAAUGGUAGGAGAGCGUUCUAAGGGCGUUGAAGCAUGAUCGUAAGGACAUGUGGAGCGCUUAGAAGUGAGAAUGCCGGUGUGAGUUGGCGAAAGACGGGUGAGAAUCCCGUCCACCGAUUGACUAAGGUUUCCAGAGGAAGGCUCGUCCGCUCUGGGUUAGUCGGGUCCUAAGCUGAGGCCGACAGGCGUAGGCGAUGGAUAACAGGUUGAUAUUCCUGUACCACCUAUAAUCGUUUUAAUCGAUGGGGGGACGCAGUAGGAUAGGCGAAGCGUGCGAUUGGAUUGCACGUCUAAGCAGUAAGGCUGAGUAUUAGGCAAAUCCGGUACUCGUUAAGGCUGAGCUGUGAUGGGGAGAAGACAUUGUGUCUUCGAGUCGUUGAUUUCACACUGCCGAGAAAAGCCUCUAGAUAGAAAAUAGGUGCCCGUACCGCAAACCGACACAGGUAGUCAAGAUGAGAAUUCUAAGGUGAGCGAGCGAACUCUCGUUAAGGAACUCGGCAAAAUGACCCCGUAACUUCGGGAGAAGGGGUGCUCUUUAGGGUUAACGCCCAGAAGAGCCGCAGUGAAUAGGCCCAAGCGACUGUUUAUCAAAAACACAGGUCUCUGCUAAACCGUAAGGUGAUGUAUAGGGGCUGACGCCUGCCCGGUGCUGGAAGGUUAAGAGGAGUGGUUAGCUUCUGCGAAGCUACGAAUCGAAGCCCCAGUAAACGGCGGCCGUAACUAUAACGGUCCUAAGGUAGCGAAAUUCCUUGUCGGGUAAGUUCCGACCCGCACGAAAGGCGUAACGAUUUGGGCACUGUCUCAACGAGAGACUCGGUGAAAUCAUAGUACCUGUGAAGAUGCAGGUUACCCGCGACAGGACGGAAAGACCCCGUGGAGCUUUACUGUAGCCUGAUAUUGAAAUUCGGCACAGCUUGUACAGGAUAGGUAGGAGCCUUUGAAACGUGAGCGCUAGCUUACGUGGAGGCGCUGGUGGGAUACUACCCUAGCUGUGUUGGCUUUCUAACCCGCACCACUUAUCGUGGUGGGAGACAGUGUCAGGCGGGCAGUUUGACUGGGGCGGUCGCCUCCUAAAAGGUAACGGAGGCGCUCAAAGGUUCCCUCAGAAUGGUUGGAAAUCAUUCAUAGAGUGUAAAGGCAUAAGGGAGCUUGACUGCGAGACCUACAAGUCGAGCAGGGUCGAAAGACGGACUUAGUGAUCCGGUGGUUCCGCAUGGAAGGGCCAUCGCUCAACGGAUAAAAGCUACCCCGGGGAUAACAGGCUUAUCUCCCCCAAGAGUUCACAUCGACGGGGAGGUUUGGCACCUCGAUGUCGGCUCAUCGCAUCCUGGGGCUGUAGUCGGUCCCAAGGGUUGGGCUGUUCGCCCAUUAAAGCGGUACGCGAGCUGGGUUCAGAACGUCGUGAGACAGUUCGGUCCC